CAAAUACUCCCGCCGUCCGAAAAUACUUGUCGGAGAAAUUGAUAAAAAUGGAUGUAUCUAGAACUAAAAUACAUGUAGAUACAUCCAUUCUCCGACGACUAUUUCCGGACGGAGGGAGUAUUAC
This is a non-coding RNA of Triticum aestivum (bread wheat), 124 nucleotides long. NCBI's taxonomy places the organism in Eukaryota, Viridiplantae, Streptophyta, Magnoliopsida, Poales, Poaceae. The record is from Rfam.